GACGAACGCUGGCGGCGUGCCUAAUACAUGCAAGUAGAACGCUGAAACUUGGUGCUUGCACCGAGCGGAUGAGUUGCGAACGGGUGAGUAACGCGUAGGUAACCUGCCUGGUAGCGGGGGAUAACUAUUGGAAACGAUAGCUAAUACCGCAUAAGAGUAGAUGUUGCAUGACAUUUGCUUAAAAGGUGCAAUUGCACCACUACCAGAUGGACCUGCGUUGUAUUAGCUAGUUGGUGGGGUAACGGCUCACCAAGGCGACGAUACAUAGCCGACCUGAGAGGGUGGUCGGCCACACUGGGACUGAGACACGGCCCAGACUCCUACGGGAGGCAGCAGGAGGGAAUCUUCGGCAAGGGACGGAAGUCUGACCGAGCAACGCCGCGUGCGUGAAGAAGGUUUUCGGAUCGUAAAGCUCUGUUGUAAGAGAAGAACGAGUGUGAGAGUGGAAAGUUCACACUGUGACGGUAUCUUACCAGAAAGGGACGGCUAACUACGUG
RNAcentral lists this ribosomal RNA (497 nucleotides) under uncultured bacterium. RNAcentral describes it as "partial 16S ribosomal RNA". It matches the Rfam family "Bacterial small subunit ribosomal RNA", at positions 28 to 507 of the family's 1533-position model. The record is from RNAcentral.